GACCGCGUAACUCAGUUGGCAGAGCAUUGAUUGAGCUAGUAUUCCAAAGGUCGUAGGUUUGAUUCCCACCGUGGCCG
This is a non-coding RNA of Paramuricea clavata, 77 nucleotides long. Lineage: Eukaryota; Metazoa; Cnidaria; Anthozoa; Malacalcyonacea; Plexauridae. The record is from the annotation of a GenBank genome assembly.